AUUGAACGCUGGCGGCAUGCUUUACACAUGCAAGUCGAACGGCAGCGCGGGGGCGAACCCUCGGCGGCGAGUGGCGAACGGGUGAGUAAUAUAUCGGAACGUACCCAAGAGUGGGGGAGUAACGUAGCGAAAGUUACGCUAAUACCGCAUACGAUCCAAGGAUGAAAGACAGGGGACCGGCAAGGCCUUGUGCUCCUGGAGCGGCCGAUAUCUGAUUAGCUAGUUGGUGAGGUAAAGGCUCACCAAGGCCACGAUCAGUAGCUGGUCUGAGAGGACGACCAGCCACACUGGAACUGAGACACGGUCCAGACUCCUACGGGAGGCAGCAGUGGGGAAUUUUGACAAUGGGCGCAAGCCUGAUCCAGCAAUGCCGCGUGAGUGAAGAAGGCCUCGGUU
This 396-nucleotide ribosomal RNA is filed under the name uncultured bacterium. RNAcentral describes it as "bacterial SSU rRNA". It matches the Rfam family "Bacterial small subunit ribosomal RNA", at positions 30 to 424 of the family's 1533-position model. The record is from RNAcentral.